Molecule: long non-coding RNA, 2423 nt
Organism: Gopherus evgoodei (Goodes thornscrub tortoise)
Lineage: Eukaryota; Metazoa; Chordata; Testudines; Testudinidae
Exons: 2
Source: RefSeq, a predicted model, not a curated record
UGAGUUUUCUCCUUCCCUUUGCCUGAUUUUACUAGAAAACAGCCGUCCCUGUUUAGAAGGUAAGAGCCUCCUCGAGGGAAGGGGUGUCCUGGGCGUGUCACAGUGCGGGUGCCAGUGGCCUCCCCACACUCUAAGGAAGUUCCCGCCACCCUGCUCUGUGUUCGCAGUGCGGCAGAGAGCAGCAUUCCACGGCAGCGGUUUGCUCCUGGCUGCCAGAGCAGAGCAGCAGGUUCAACUGUCAGAACUUCCCAGAGCAAUGAAAGGGGAGGGCCCAUGGCUCUGUAGCAGGAAUGCAGGGAAGGCGAGUUCACGGCGGGCAUUGUGGGAUACUGGAGGAGGUCAGUUAUGGUGAUAUAAUGAACAGCAGCGUCUACUCUGUCACUUCAAGUUUGCUGCAAAAAGCUCUAGACCUCUCAUCAAAGCUGUUUUAUUUUGUCAGCAAAACAGGGCAGUGUUGUCGCCAGACGUGGCAUUGCAGUGUGUGCACCAGCCACAAGCUGCCGACUGAGGUAGCGUUGUGUGUUUUUCACACACCUGAGCAACACAAUUCUGCUGAAACAACUUUGUAGUGCAGACCUGGCCAAAGAUUCACUCACACACAACUUGUAAGGAAAACGUCACCUGCUCCUCUGCUUUGCAGAAUCCAAAUACAAGCAAAGCUUGUCAGGCCCCAAUGGUGAUGGCAGGGAGUCAGGUGUGGGCAAACACUGUGUUUUAGCUACCCACAGGCACCAGGGCUUAGCUGGCUAAAGCAUCAGUGGUGCCUUGCUGACUGUUUGUUGGGGCACCUGCUACUGGCUACUGUCAGAAGACAAGAUUCAGAGCUAGAUGGGCCUUUGGUCUAGCCCAGUGUGGUUUUUCUUAUGGUUUAAAUAACACUCACAGGUACUGAUAAUAGAGUUACUGAAAGUUUGGGAGUUAGCAGCUGGUAGGUCAGUGCUCCAGUCCCCACACAGAUGACACUCUCCCUCUGGGACAGGGGCAGGUCUGAGCUCUCACCCGAACGCUCAUUGUGGCUGUCAGAAUCUGUGAGCAGCUUGUUUAGUUUAUGCCAAAGGUUGAGUCCUGCUUUGUGCACUGUGUGUGAGAAUGAAAAUGAAAAUCCUAAACUGCCUCUUGAAAUAACGAAUGCAGCAGGACGUGUUAUUGUCCCUGCCCCAAGGCAGACAGACCAAUGGAGAAAUGCCGUCAAGUCCAAGGUAAUACUCCACUGCCGUUUUACAUUUUUUGCUUGCUAAACUCCUUAUCUGCCUGGCCCAGGCUGUCCUCUGCCUCAGCUGCUGCUCCCAGCCUGCUCUAGAGUCAAACAUGGAGGGCUCCCAGAGGAACAGAGACUGGGACGGGGCAGCAGCCUGGGCUGGGCUGGGAAGAUGCUGGGAGUUCUGGUUCCCUGAGAAUUGGCCCGGCUCCCUUCUCAACAGCGAACAAAUCAAUUCCACGUCCCCUCCCCAGAAAAAUCAGCCUAGAGCCAAGGGCAGCAGGGGACGAUUCCCUCUAGUUCCCACUGAGGCAGGAGAGAACCCAGGGUGUUUCUAGGAGAGCUUAUGGAACUGACGUGGGGAAACCAGCCUUUAAUAACAGGCAGUUCCAGUUUAAGCUAAGUGUUUUUAACAAUUUCUACAACAUUAAAAAACCCUUCCAUCGUAGUGUCACCACCCAUAAAAUUGCUUCAGCUUUAUAGGUUCCUAAGUGCACAACUAAACAUCUCUUCAAAUCCAAGGGAGUGGAGAUCAGUCAAUGUUCAGAGUAAUCCCACAUAAAAGAACCAUGUUGUGGUACAUACUGGCCCCACCAUGCGGUCGUCGCCUUUCCCUCCUCUCUGUUAAAAGUUUUAGUAUUUUGCACAGAAACUUUCUUCCCUCAGGAGAGACCUGGGAACCAGGGCUGCCAGCCAGCCAAACACCUUUAAGAGGAGGUGUCAUCUGUCAGAAAAUGAUCUCCCUCCUUCAGUUCAGUGACACCCUGAAAUGUUACUUAUCAAGGCAGAGCCGGAGGACUGAAAGCAGCUACAUCAAACCGCUGGGUAGCUAACAGGAAUGAACACAAACACUCCCUUGUAUCUGAAGAGAUGUUUAGUUUUACCCUUGGCAAACUACAAGGCUAAAGGGAAAGGUGAUGCUGGUGUCAGAUAUAAAGAGUGAAACAUGAAACAAUCAUCAUAUUUAUGCCCAUAGCAACUGUAAAUAUUUCUAAAUUCUUCUUAUUAUCAUCAGUGUAUUAUUUUCUCUGUUAUCUAGACACUGACUAGACCUUGACCAAGAAAUUUGGAUCUUGACAAAGUAAUCAACUACCCCUCGUUAAGGGUACAAUGGAAGAGGAGAAAAUACCCUCUUAACAUAGAAUGCAAAUGUCAGUUUGUUCUCUCUUCAUGUUUUACUGAAGCUCAGAGAGAGGAAGAAACAUGACCUGCCGAAGAGAACAGA